UUGAUAGUACCUUACUACUUGGAUAACCGUGGUAAUUCUAGAGCUAAUACAUGCUAAAAACCCCAACUUCGGGAGGGGUGUAUUUAUUAGAUAAAAAACCAACGCCCUUCGGGGCUUCUUGGUGAUUCAUAAUAACUUUACGGAUCGCAUGGCCUUGCGCCGGGCGACGGUUCAUUCAAAUUUCUGCCCUAUCAACUUUCGAUGGUAAGGUAUUGGCUUACCAUGGUUUCAACGGGUAACGGGGAAUUAGGGUUCGAUUCCGGAGAGGGAGCCUGAGAAACGGCUACCACAUCCAAGGAAGGCAGCAGGCGCGCAAAUUACCCAAUCCCGACACGGGGAGGUAGUGACAAUAAAUACUGAUACAGGGCUCUUUUGGGUCUUGUAAUUGGAAUGAGUACAAUUUAAACCUCUUAACGAGGAACAAUUGGAGGGCAAGUCUGGUGCCAGCAGCCGCGGUAAUUCCAGCUCCAAUAGCGUAUAUUAAAGUUGUUGCAGUUAAAAAGCUCGUAGUUGAAACUUGGGUCUGGCUGGCAGGUCCGCCUCACCGCGUGUACUUGUCCGGCCGGGCCUUCCUUCUGGAGAACCUCAUGCCCUUCACUGGGCGUGUUGGGGACCAGGACUUUUACUUUGAAAAAAUUAGAGUGUUCAAAGCAGGCCUUUGCUCGAAUACGUUAGCAUGGAAUAAUAGAAUAGGACGUGCGGUCCUAUUUUGUUGGUUUCUAGGACCGCCGUAAUGAUUAAUAGGGACAGUCGGGGGCAUCAGUAUUCAAUUGUCAGAGGUGAAAUUCUUGGAUUUAUUGAAGACUAACUACUGCGAAAGCAUUUGCCAAGGAUGUUUUCAUUAAUCAGUGAACGAAAGUUAGGGGAUCGAAGACGAUCAGAUACCGUCGUAGUCUUAACCGUAAACUAUGCCGACUAGGGAUCGGGCGAUGUUCUUUUUCUGACUCGCUCGGCACCUUACGAGAAAUCAAA
Molecule: ribosomal RNA, 972 nt
Rfam family: Eukaryotic small subunit ribosomal RNA